This 156-nucleotide non-coding RNA is filed under the name uncultured Alistipes sp. The record is from RNAcentral. Lineage: Bacteria; Pseudomonadati; Bacteroidota; Bacteroidia; Bacteroidales; Rikenellaceae.
UUGUUUGUGAAUGAAAAGGGAAUCGAGUGCAAGUCUCGAACAGUCCCGCUGCUGUGAACUCAUUAAUUAUUUCCUGAAUAUCUGUUGCCACUGACAGUUUUGUUGUUGGGAAGGCCUCGGGAAUGAGAGUAAGUCAGAAGACCUGCCAGUUAUUGA